RNAcentral lists this ribosomal RNA (253 nucleotides) under uncultured bacterium. RNAcentral describes it as "partial 16S ribosomal RNA". It matches the Rfam family "Bacterial small subunit ribosomal RNA", at positions 524 to 776 of the family's 1533-position model. The record is from RNAcentral.
UACAGAGGGGGCAAGCGUUGUUCGGAAUUACUGGGCGUAAAGGGCGCGUAGGCGGCCUGCUAAGUCGAACGUGAAAUCCCUGGGCUCAACCCAGGAACUGCGUCCGAUACUGGUUGGCUUGAAUUCGGGAGAGGGAUGCGGAAUUCCAGGUGUAGCGGUGAAAUGCGUAGAUAUCUGGAGGAACACCGGUGGCGAAGGCGGCAUCCUGGACCGAUAUUGACGCUGAGGCGCGAAAGCCAGGGGAGCAAACGGG